GAAAUAUGAUACUCAAAAUGAAGCCUCUAACUUCAAUUUUUUGCAGUGCAAUUCUGUUUAUAUUUCU
RNAcentral lists this transfer RNA (67 nucleotides) under Pyrocoelia pygidialis. RNAcentral's name for it is "tRNA-Ser". Lineage: Eukaryota; Metazoa; Arthropoda; Insecta; Coleoptera; Lampyridae. The record is from RNAcentral.